Molecule: ribosomal RNA, 725 nt
Filed under: uncultured bacterium
Lineage: Bacteria
Description: bacterial SSU rRNA
Rfam family: Bacterial small subunit ribosomal RNA
Source: RNAcentral
AUCUUCUUCGGAAGAUGAGUGGCGAACGGGUGAGUAAUACAUAGGUAACCUGCCCCUGUGCGGGGGAUAACAGGAGGAAACUCCUGCUAAUACCGCAUAGCCAUGAGCACCGCACGGAGCUCAUGCCAAAUAUCCUUUCGGGGAUAGCGCAGGGAUGGACCUAUGGCGCAUUAGCUUGUUGGCGGGGCAACGGCCCACCAAGGCAACGAUGCGUAGCCGGCCUGAGAGGGCGGACGGCCACAUUGGGACUGAGACACGGCCCAGACUCCUACGGGAGGCAGCAGUAGGGAAUUUUCGGCAAUGGGGGAAACCCUGACCGAGCAACGCCGCGUGAGCGAAGAAGGCCUUCGGGUCGUAAAGCUCUGUUGUAAAGGAAGAACGGCGCAUACAGGAAAUGGUAUGCGAGUGACGGUACUUUACCAGAAAGCCACGGCUAACUACGUGCCAGCAGCCGCGGUAAUACGUAGGUGGCGAGCGUUAUCCGGAAUCAUUGGGCGUAAAGAGGGAGCAGGCGGCCGCAAGGGUCUGUGGUGAAAGACCGAAGCUAAACUUCGGUAAGCCAUGGAAACCGGGCGGCUAGAGUGCGGAAGAGGAUCGUGGAAUUCCAUGUGUAGCGGUGAAAUGCGUAGAUAUAUGGAGGAACACCAGUGGCGAAGGCGACGGUCUGGGCCGCAACUGACGCUCAUUCCCGAAAGCGUGGGGAGCAAAUAGGAUUAGAUACCCUA